This 506-nucleotide ribosomal RNA is filed under the name Bittiolum varium. RNAcentral's name for it is "partial 16S ribosomal RNA". It matches the Rfam family "Bacterial large subunit ribosomal RNA", at positions 1817 to 2600 of the family's 2925-position model. The record is from RNAcentral. Lineage: Eukaryota; Metazoa; Mollusca; Gastropoda; Cerithiidae.
GGCUCUUUGUUAUAUUUAUAUAAAGAGUCGGACCUGCCCAGUGAAAUUUUCAACGGCCGCGGUACUCUGACCGUGCAAAGGUAGCAUAAUCACUUGCCUUAUAAUUGAAGGCUAGAAUGAAUGGUUUGACGAGGGCAUAACUGUCUCUCUCUAAUUAAUUAGAAUUUGACCUUUAGGUGAAGAGGCCUAAAAAUAACUGAAGGACGAGAAGACCCUGUCGAGCUUAAAGAGAAGAUGGAUCGAAAUAUAGCAAUAAAUAUAAGACCGUUUACAUUUUUUGGUUGGGGCGACUAGGGAACAAAAAGAGCUUCCCUUAAAUAGUAUACUUAUAUGUAAGGAUCCAGGAGAACGCUGAUUGGAAAAAUUAGUUACCGCAGGGAUAACAGCAUAAUCUCUUUUGAGAGACCUAAUCGAAAAAGGGGGUUGUGACCUCGAUGUUGGACUAGGAUAUCCUAAAGGUGCAGAAGCCUUUAAUGGUUAGUCUGUUCGACUAUUUAAAUCCUACG